Molecule: long non-coding RNA, 1015 nt
Organism: Leptopilina boulardi
Lineage: Eukaryota; Metazoa; Arthropoda; Insecta; Hymenoptera; Figitidae
Exons: 3
Source: RefSeq, a predicted model, not a curated record
UCAAAUAAAUUAUUUCCUUAUCGCAGCAAUUAUAUUCGGAAUAGCACUCAGAAGAACUGGGUCGAUUAAAAACAAAUAAGUGACAAGACAAAUUAUUUUUUUCGACAGAUACUGCCUGUUAAUAGGCAGCCGAUCUGCGAACAUUUUCAUUCUCACCCCUUCUUUUUCUCUUCCGGCCAAUGAGCGAUCGUCUUCAAUAAAAUUCAUCCAGUCGUAGCGCGCUAUAGAAUGCAAGAUAUCGCUAAUUUGAAUAGAUCAAUCACGAAUCGAGAAACGAUUUAAGAAUUACCCAUGUGAUUUUUGCGGAAGAUACUCGUGAUUGGUUGUCAUUUCUCCCUCAUUUUUGCAAGUUUCAGCCGAUCAACUCAGUAUCAGUUCUACUGUCUUCUACAUCACAUAUGGGAUGCAGGACGCAAUAUACUAAAUAUUGGUCUCAUUCUCAAUGGGCUUUUGGAACCAACAGCUAUAAGAAAUCCCGAAAAUUUCAAUGCCUUGAAGUCGUUCGUAGAACAUUUGUCGGUGGAGGAUCCCAGUCCAUCCAUCUAAACAAGCUCGAAAGAGCGUGCACAAAAAUGCAGAUCAGAGGUUCAGUAUGAUUUUCAAUCUUCAUUAUUUGGCCAAUCAAAACACGGGACGAAAAGGGCGCCAAAGAUGUUUAAAUUUAAAAAAUAAUUAUAAAAGUAAAGACAAUUAGUUCACACUGUUAAUUUAUUCAAAUUUAAUAUAUUAUUGUUAUAUUUAAAAUAUUAGAAGCAAUAAAUGUGAUGAUGAUUAUAAAAACGAAUCCUGACAAAAAAAAUUAAGUGGAAAAAGAAAAAAAAAGUACAUUCAGAUUCUUUUGUUUAUUUGUAUAUGUAUAUUGCAACUAUUAAUUUUGCAUAAAAUGUAAAUAAAAUUUUUCGUUGAUGGAUUAUACACCUGAAUAUAGAGUUCAGUUCAAUAAAAUUGUGAAAAUAAGAGCAACUUUUGUUCUUGCAUUCAAGAAAUAAAAAAAAUGGACUUUGUUACCGUGAUA